This is a long non-coding RNA of Camelus dromedarius (Arabian camel), 2546 nucleotides long. NCBI's taxonomy places the organism in Eukaryota, Metazoa, Chordata, Mammalia, Artiodactyla, Camelidae. The record is from Ensembl.
CUGUGUAAAGCAGCAUCUUAUUGUGGUCUUCAUUUGCAUGGUGCUCAUCACCAGUAAGCCUGGGCAUCCCUUAGAUGUUCAUUGGACGGAUGUGCUGCUGCUUCUGUGAAAAGGCCUGUUCACGUCUUUUAUUUUUCUGUUGGAUUACUUGUUUUUUUCCGCCAUGGAUUUACAAGUCCUUUCCAUAUUUUUGAUGCUUUAUCCUUUGUCAGUUGCAUGUGGCAGACGUCACAAGUCUGCUCCAGUUUGUGGCUCGCAUUUCACUUUCUCUAAGGUGUCUCCACUUCUCUCUUCCCUCCCACACCUGUGCCAGGGACGCUGGUGUGCGUGCGUGUGCAUGUGUGCGUGUGUGUGGAGGAGGGGUUCCUGUGUUCCUCAGAACCCCGUGCAGACCGACCCCACUGCUCCACCUGCUCCCUGGGGCCUUAAGAGACCUGCCUCCCAGAUCUGCCAUGAAAUGCUCUGCUCUCUUCUCUUUUCCUUGCUGUCCCCGGGGCUGGAGGAGCACAGGCCUCCCAGGCACAGGACCUUGGCCUUGCUGGACUCCCAUCUUCUUCCAAAGGUUGAGCCUGGGGUAGCCAGAAAUAAGAGGUAAGUUGGGGCAGGUGGGGGUGGGGGUCGGUAAGGAGGGGCCCUAACCUCCCAAAAACUAGCCUGGACAGGACCCCAGGGGCCGGCAAAGUCUCGGUUGGGAAGGGCUGGGGCUGGGCAGAGGGUGUGGCAGGUGUGGACUUGGCAGCAGACAGCUCCCUGGGGUUGUGGGGGUGGCGGGCUCUGGGUCAACGGCCUUGGUGAGGCUUAGGGAUGGAGUCCUGUCAGGUCUGAAGGCUGCGCACAGUCCUCGAUUGCUAACUACCAGGUCAGAGAAAUGGCUUCUCUGUGACCCAUGACCCCAUAUUCUGAUUUAAUGAUGGCCAAAGCAGGCCUGGCUCAGGCUGGUCUGGGGAUAGGGCUGAGGACCCAGAGGAAGGCGUGAGGCCCAAAGCUCAGGAGACUGUGGGCACCUCAAGGCUGCAGCUGGACCUCACCGUGUGGCCUGGCCCAGGCAGGUGAGGCCUGGAGUCAGUCUGUCCGGCCCCUUGGCAGGCCUGGAGGCCGGAGCGUUCCUGGUCACCGCUGUGCGGUGCCUGUGGUAAUGGGGCUGUUGGCGUUUUGCAAUGGGCCGGGGGUGGGGAGGCUGCGCACACAUGCUUCCUGUGGUGACUGGGCGCUUCCUGUUUUCUCAGGCGCCGGACUUGCUACUGCCGAUGUGGAAACCGGGGCAGCUGCAGCCUGGGUGGCUCUGGGCUGGGUGCCUUGACCCUGCCCAGAGGGGCCUAAGCAGGCCCACCACCCCAGGCCCCAACCCGGGCAAUGGACGGCCUGAGUUAACCCCCAUACCAGGCCUCCAUCACUCCUAUCCCCAGCAGCUCCUGCCAAGAGGAAAGGGCCAGGCAGGGCUGUCACUCAAGACUGAGCAGGUGGUCCAGGUGGGAGGUGCAGGGGUGAGAGCUCUGGUCUCGGCUCUGUCCUUUGUUCACUGAGGCCCUUUGGCCAUCCCUGACCCACUCCAGGCCUUGGCUUCCUCUUUUGUAUGGUGAUCGAGGCACCCAUGAUCUAAAAUCCCUCACCCAUUUCUGCCCCAAUUCUGACAUCCCUUAAUUUUCCAUCCCUUAGUUUUGGGAACAGUGUCAGCGCUGAGGCUGGGACCCUCAGAGAGUGGCUUGGCAUAGGCCUUGACAGAGAGGGGACCUGGAGAGACUGAGGGGAAGGAAGAGGCGUGCCAGGUGGGAGGACUAGACUAGGGCCAGGUAUGGAGGUGGGAAGGCCAGGACCAAGUUUGGAACUUAAGGUGUUGAUGGGACAGACUCGAGAGUGGUAGGUGACAAGGCUGAUCUGGAUCCAAAGCGGGAGGAAGAUUUGAGGGUCCUCUUUAUUCAUGCAAACUUUAGGAAAGUGUCUGAGACCCCCUUCACAUUCUUCCUCAGAAGAAAGACAAAUGGGUAUUUGGGGGGUGGGGGCAGGGCCAGCCCUUCCCUUCCGUCCACCAAAGAGAUGGCUGCCCAUGUGGUGUGAUGGGGGUGCCUCAUGAGGGACCCGAACCUUUCUCCGUGUGUCGGGUGCCUGGAGAUCCAGCAUCUGGGCCAGGCUCAGGAUUCUGCAUUGCCGUCUUCCCGAACCUGUUUUGUUUUUAAGCUGCUAUUGCAAGAAGGGGUGGGAGAUGACUUUGCUUCUCGUUGAGUUUGCUGACGGCGUCUGACCUCUGGGGGAAGAGUUUCUUUGCAGGAAGGCCCAGGCCUGAGCCCCUGGGAGCUGACCAGUCCACUGACUGGGUUCAGCCAUCCCUUCGGCUCAGGAGGUCCUGAGAUGCCUGCCUCACAAGUAGCUCCGCCUAGUUCUCAAGGCCUGCCCGUCACAGCGCAAGGAGUGGUUCCGGUCAGAGAGGCUUCGGGGACCCCAAGACCCUGAGGCCCAGCCCGGCCCCCGCCAUCCUGCCCCUGCCUUGGUGCCUCGGGUUGGCCCAAGUGCUGAGUUGGCAGCUCAGCAGCUGCUCCUGCCCACGGAGG